GUGCGCGGCCUUCACCGAGCGCAGAAGGGGAAUGGCAACUCCAAAUGGCAUUCAUCAUACUCGCCAUCGGGCAGGUGCCGCACGCUGCCGAAGCGUCUCGAGUUUCCCCACCCCGGGGGGUGUGUGUGGAGCUACCUAGCUGCCAAGUUCAGCACAGCGAGCCCACCCUUCCCGGAGCAGGAUGUCACCCACGUGGCGGUUACGGCACUGUUUCUUUCCAAGGAGUUUAUCUGCUCUGCCCUUUGCUCAUCAAAAUGAGUCUGAAAUCUACCAAGCUGUGAAAUGGACAAAGAACGCUGGCGGGCAUGGCGGGCUGCGACAGAGGCAGACCGUACGAGGAACGUUCGACUGUGGCGUGCAUGAGGACAUUUGGAGAUUCUCCGUGGAUGUUGACCUGUCACCUCUGCCAAGAGCCAGCCCCACUGGGCUGCUGAAUGACCUAAAGAGCGACCCUUUCAGCUGCAACUGUAGCCUGGAAUUAAAUGGAGAUGGCAAAGACAUGGGAACGGGAGACCAGAAAAUGGCAACCAGUCACCUUUGUAUGGAAUCAUCUUUGACCUGGACUGUUUCCAGCGGGCAGUUCUCCAAGGAGCAAGGUCUCUCUGGCAGGGAGCAGGUGGUCCCUGGAGGGCACCAGCAUUGAUGGCCCAGGGCAUGCAAAUUCUGCCACUGACAUAAGUGGGCCCCUGAAUGCCUGCUAAACUGGCUCUACAGUUCAGAUCUGCUGGCAGGGCAGCAGCUAAGAGGUUAGCCUUCGUGAGUAAGAGGGAAAUAGCUCCAGUGAGGCUUCCUAGAAAGGAUUCAUUCAUUCAUUCACUCCUCCAUCAAAUCCUUUGCGAAGCAGAGCUUUGUGCCUGAUCCUGUACUUGAUAAUGACGUUAAGGACGAAGGCAGAUUGCUGCUCAGCCCCCCCCCCCCCCCCCCGGCACAGCGUAUAACAUUCCAGUGCGCAUCAGAGAUAAUAAAUAAGUAAAAACAGUCCCUGAUAAGCGUGAUGAAGGAAACAGGGUCCAGGGAUUGAAAGUAAUCAGGGGACCUAUGGAAGAGGGAUGCUGGGAGGCUUAGCCAAGAAGGAUGCAGCAAUGUGCAGAAGUGGGGUGGGGAUGGGGGAAGGGCUUUAGGGAGAGAGCACAAGCUCAAAGGUGACUAAAUAAAAGGAGUCUGGGCCACUUCAAGAACAGGAAGAUGGAACCGAAGAGGAGAUGGAUGGAAUUAUCAAAGGCUCCACAGGUCAUGAUGAAGAGACUGGAUUUUAAUGCCCAGAGUGACGAGAAAUACUGGAAGAGAGGAGAGACAUGAGCUCAAGAAACCUUCUAAGGGAUGUAAGAACAAUAUCCAGAAGCAAUGGCCAUGAGAACUCAGGACAGUUCUGGAAGCUUUGUCACCC
This 1387-nucleotide long non-coding RNA is filed under the name Sus scrofa (pig). RNAcentral's name for it is "lncRNA (ENSSSCG00025038294.1)". Lineage: Eukaryota; Metazoa; Chordata; Mammalia; Artiodactyla; Suidae. The record is from RNAcentral.